AGAGAGAGAGAGAGAGGGAGUUGUGUAAAGAGACUGAAGUCUUUUCUUGCGCAGCUUUUCUUCUUCUUCUUCUUCUGCUGCUGCUGCUGCUGCUGUCACUUCUUAAGUGGCCUCAGCAUUUCCACAUUCUGUGAAGCACCAGGCCGAACCAGACCGAGUUAAAUGGUGGAACCAGGCCGAUCGUCAGAGGGCGACACACCCCGCUGAGGGUCCAGGAGAAGGAGGAUCCUGGAGGAGUCGGUUCUGCACCGUCACCUCCGAUGGUCGGAGCAGCGACCCGGGCCCUGGUCAAGUCUUCAGCUCAUGAAUGUCUCCCGUCCCGUCCUGUGACAUCACCGUGGCCGUGACAACGGACUGAAAUCUUGACUGACGGACGAUACGUGUCAGAGAAGAACAUCAGGAAUGUCUCCUGUCCCUGGAGCCACAGAUCAGUGAUCUGAUCAUGUCACAGGAGGACGACCUCAGGAUCAAAGGUCACAUCACGGCUCUUCAGGACGGAUGGUUCUGGAAAUGUGAUCUGAAAAAAAAAAAAAACGAAUUUCUUUCAAAAUUGAAAAGCCUCAUUUAUGCGUCUGUGUUUGUUGGUCGUGUCAGAGCUGCUGAAGUCACAUGAUCGUCCAAACGUCUCCUCAGUCAUUCCUUACAUAUCAGCUCAUUUCACCGACUCACAGCUGAUCGCACACACUGCGACUUCACUGCACCCACUGACUUGAAGUGUGUGUGUGUGUGUGUGUGUGUGUGAGUCUGGCUGCAGGCCGCCUCGUUCCCACGCAGCAGGUUUAAAAAGGAAGUGUAGAGAUCUCCUCUUCUUCCUCUUCAUCUUCUCCUCUCCGCAGGAAUGUGUUCGUCCAAAAACCAAGCUGUCCCUGAGCCUCAGCUGUUCUUCUCUCUGCUCCACAUGGCUGACACACUGCAGUUCUUCACUGGCAAGCUUUAUGUUCCUCUAUGCAUGCUAAAGCUGCCAGCUGAAGAACUGUGGUGGUCAGCCCGGGCCUCGGAGAACAGACGGACGGACGGACGGACGGAGAAGGAAGUGAGGACGGAACAUGAAACAUGGAUGGAUUUCUGACCUUCAGUCCCUGGAGCCACGUGUUGGUCUUCUGUUGGCUGUGACUAUGAUCUGGUCUCCACUGUCACCAGGGUCAGAAGGUGGUGCUGUAGUGAAAACACAAAGAAUCACAAACAAUAUGUUAAAGUAUGAAUUAAACACAGCUCUUUAACAUAACACAUGACUACCUUCAUUUUAGCCGUGUUUACAGUAGUAGUUUAACUUUGCUAAAUGCCAAUGUUUCACUGGUUGUGGCUGAACAUAAGGGACAUUAUUGGGGUAAAUAAUAUUCCUGUUUUUAAACAAAGAAUGUGUAAAAAAAAAUCUUGUUUGAACUUGGAUGAAAUUGAAAUGUGGAUUUCAAUAAAUGGUAUUUUUAA
This is a long non-coding RNA of Cynoglossus semilaevis (tongue sole), 1428 nucleotides long. RefSeq lists it as uncharacterized. The transcript is spliced from 2 exons. The record is from RefSeq and is a predicted model, not a curated record. Lineage: Eukaryota; Metazoa; Chordata; Actinopteri; Pleuronectiformes; Cynoglossidae.